This 490-nucleotide ribosomal RNA is filed under the name Streptococcus intermedius. Its description in RNAcentral is "bacterial SSU rRNA". It matches the Rfam family "Bacterial small subunit ribosomal RNA", at positions 28 to 494 of the family's 1533-position model. Lineage: Bacteria; Bacillati; Bacillota; Bacilli; Lactobacillales; Streptococcaceae. The record is from RNAcentral.
GACGAACGCUGGCGGCGUGCCUAAUACAUGCAAGUAGAACGCACAGGAUGCACCGUAGUUUACUACACCGUAUUCUGUGAGUUGCGAACGGGUGAGUAACGCGUAGGUAACCUGCCUGGUAGCGGGGGAUAACUAUUGGAAACGAUAGCUAAUACCGCAUAAGAACAUUUACUGCAUGGUAGAUGUUUAAAAGGUGCAAAUGCAUCACUACCAGAUGGACCUGCGUUGUAUUAGCUAGUAGGUGAGGUAACGGCUCACCUAGGCGACGAUACAUAGCCGACCUGAGAGGGUGAUCGGCCACACUGGGACUGAGACACGGCCCAGACUCCUACGGGAGGCAGCAGUAGGGAAUCUUCGGCAAUGGGGGGAACCCUGACCGAGCAACGCCGCGUGAGUGAAGAAGGUUUUCGGAUCGUAAAGCUCUGUUGUUAAGGAAGAACGAGUGUGAGAAUGGAAAGUUCAUACUGUGACGGACUAACCAGAAAGGACG